Molecule: ribosomal RNA, 492 nt
Filed under: uncultured bacterium
Lineage: Bacteria
Description: partial 16S ribosomal RNA
Rfam family: Bacterial small subunit ribosomal RNA
Source: RNAcentral
AGUGAACGCUGGCGGUAGGCCUAACACAUGCCAGUCGAACGGCAGCACAGUAAGAGCUUGCUCUUACGGGUGGCGAGUGGCGGACGGGUGAGGAAUACAUCGGAAUCUACUUUUUCGUGGGGGAUAACGUAUGGAAACUUACGCUAAUACCGCAUACGACCUACGGGUGAAAGCAGGGGAUCUUCGGACCUUGCGCGAUUGAAUGAGCCGAUGUCGGAUUAGCUAGUUGGCGGGGUAAAGGCCCACCAAGGCGACGAUCCGUAGCUGGUCUGAGAGGAUGAUCAGCCACACUGGAACUGAGACACGGUCCAGACUCCUACGGGAGGCAGCAGUGGGGAAUAUUGGACAAUGGGCGCAAGCCUGAUCCAGCCAUACCGCGUGGGUGAAGAAGGCCUUCGGGUUGUAAAGCCCUUUUGUUGGGAAAGAAAAGCAGCAGGUUAAUACCCCGCUGUUCUGACGGUACCCAAAGAAUAGGCACCGGCUAACUUCGUG